UACGUAGGUGGCAAGCGUUGUCCGGAUUUAUUGGGCGUAAAGCGAGCGCAGGCGGUCAAUUAAGUCUGAUGUGAAAGCCCCCGGCUCAACCGGGGAGGGUCAUUGGAAACUGGUUGACUUGAGUGCAGAAGAGGAGAGUGGAAUUCCAUGUGUAGCGGUGAAAUGCGUAGAUAUAUGGAGGAACACCAGUGGCGAAGGCGACUCUCUGGUCUGUAACUGACGCUGAGGCUCGAAAGCGUGGGUAGCAAACAGGAUUAGAUACCCUGGUAGUCCACGCCGUAAACGAUGAGUGCUAAGUGUUGGAGGGUUUCCGCCCUUCAGUGCUGCAGUUAACGCAUUAAGCACUCCGCCUGGGGAGUACGACCGCAAGGUUGAA
This 376-nucleotide ribosomal RNA is filed under the name uncultured bacterium. Its description in RNAcentral is "bacterial SSU rRNA". It matches the Rfam family "Bacterial small subunit ribosomal RNA", at positions 524 to 898 of the family's 1533-position model. The record is from RNAcentral.